GCUGGGCAUGGUGGUGCACACUUGUAAUCCCAGUGACUUGGGAGGUUGAGGCAGGAGGAUCACAAGUUUGAGGCCAACCUCAGCAACUUAGGGAGACCCUGUCUCAA
Molecule: small RNA, 107 nt
Filed under: Marmota monax (woodchuck)
Lineage: Eukaryota; Metazoa; Chordata; Mammalia; Rodentia; Sciuridae
Source: RNAcentral